RNAcentral lists this long non-coding RNA (758 nucleotides) under Nicotiana tabacum (common tobacco). Its description in RNAcentral is "long non-coding RNA (NTAB_LNC014058)". The record is from RNAcentral. Lineage: Eukaryota; Viridiplantae; Streptophyta; Magnoliopsida; Solanales; Solanaceae.
UUUUCCAUUCAGUCAGCAUUAGGGUUUUAAACCCUAAACUGAACUUUUCCUUUAAUCAACAUUAGGGUUUUAAACCCUAAACUGAAUUUUUCCUUUUAGUCAGCAUUAGGGUUUUAAACCCUAAACUGAACUUUCCAGCCAGUCAGCAUUAGGGUUUUAAAACCCUAAACUGAACUUUUUCCUUUCAGUCAGCAUUAGGGUUUUAAACUCUAAACUGAACUCUUUCCUUUAGUCAGCAUUAGGGUUUUAAACCCUAAACUGAACUUUUUCCUUUAGUCAGCAUUAGGGUUUUAAAUCCUAAACUGAACUUUUUUCCAUUUAGUCAGCAUUAGGGUUUUAAACCCUAAACUGAACUUUUUCCAUUUAGUCAGCAUUAGGGUUUUAAACCCUAAACUGAACUUUUUUCCUUUAGUCAGCAUUAGGUUUUUAAACCCUAAACUGAACUUUUCGUUUAGUCAGCAUUAGGGCCCCAACCCUAAACUGAACUUUUCCCCAGUUGGUCAGUAUUAGAGUUUCAACUCUAAAACUGAACUUCUCCCCAGCUAGUCGGUAUUAGGGCUCCAACCCUGAAUUAAGCAUUCAUAUCUUCUUUCAUCAAUUUUAUGAACUUCUUGGCGAAUAAUUCACGAAAUUUUCCUAGUGAAACUGGGGCAAAAAAUUUCGUUCGUUUGUUUUUCCCGCAGGUCUAACCUCGAGCCACACGGAUCAAAAUGACCCACGAGAUGAGUCUCAACUCAGAAUCUAAGAAGAAAAAGACA